AGCACAAAUUUUACUUGAGUAGUAUUAGGACAUCCUUGUCAUUUAUAAUCUAGUCUUAUACACAACAAGAUAUAUAUUUAACCUAAUUUUGAGACUGACGAUUGCAGUGUAAACGUUAAUUACCAUAGCACUAGUUAGAUGUAUUUAAAUGAAAAACUCUAUAGCAUUACAUAGAAGGUGUGACUCUCCAAUUCUACUGUUUUUUUGAAAAGUGAGUGGCUUGUUUAUGCAUUACAAAGGCACAAAUGUUACAACUGCUACUUUUAUAAAUUUGUCUACUGCAAUGCAAGUAAAACUAGAUACAGGUUAACACUGAGGUAAAAAUUUGCAAUUCCUUAGAACAGUAGCAUAUUACAAACAAAAUUACACCUUUUUUUUUAAACAAAAAAAGCUUGCAUAUGGCAUGCUUACUUAUUUGUAGUACAUGAAACAGUACAUAUACAGCACAAUGUAGUAUUUACAUUUUGUAUUACAAAGGUUGACUGGUUUGAGUGGCUGAACUACUAUUUCAGAGUGACAAAACUAAUACAAUGUCUUUAAAACUGAAAAUCAUCAUGCACAUAACCCCAUCGGUAACAGUAUCUUCAGCAGAUAAAGUUCCAGUUUUGUGCAAGUUCAGG
Pelobates cultripes (western spadefoot toad) is the source of this 620-nucleotide non-coding RNA. The record is from the annotation of a GenBank genome assembly. Lineage: Eukaryota; Metazoa; Chordata; Amphibia; Anura; Pelobatidae.